UACGAAGGGGGCUAGCGUUGUUCGGAAUCACUGGGCGUAAAGCGCACGUAGGCGGACAUUUAAGUCAGGGGUGAAAUCCCAGGGCUCAACCCUGGAACUGCCUUUGAUACUGGAUGUCUCGAGUCCGGGAGAGGUGAGUGGAACUGCGAGUGUAGAGGUGAAAUUCGUAGAUAUUCGCAAGAACACCAGUGGCGAAGGCGGCUCACUGGCCCGGAACUGACGCUGAGGUG
RNAcentral lists this ribosomal RNA (230 nucleotides) under uncultured microorganism. RNAcentral's name for it is "partial 16S ribosomal RNA". It matches the Rfam family "Bacterial small subunit ribosomal RNA", at positions 524 to 753 of the family's 1533-position model. The record is from RNAcentral.